AUACGGAGGGGGCUAGCGUUGUUCGGAAUUACUGGGCGUAAAGGGCGCGUAGGCGGACAAUCAAGUCAGAGGUGAAAGGCCUGGGCUCAACCCGGGAACUGCCUUUGAAACUGAAGGUCUAGAGUCCGAGAGAGGAUAGCGGAAUUCCCAGUGUAGAGGUGAAAUUCGUAGAUAUUGGGAAGAACACCAGUGGCGAAGGCGGCUCUCUGGCUCGGUUCUGACGCUGAGGUGCGAAAGCGUGGGGAGCAAACAGGAUUAGAUACCCUAGUAGUCC
This 274-nucleotide ribosomal RNA is filed under the name uncultured bacterium. RNAcentral describes it as "partial 16S ribosomal RNA". It matches the Rfam family "Bacterial small subunit ribosomal RNA", at positions 523 to 796 of the family's 1533-position model. The record is from RNAcentral.